RNAcentral lists this ribosomal RNA (476 nucleotides) under uncultured organism. Its description in RNAcentral is "partial 16S ribosomal RNA". It matches the Rfam family "Bacterial small subunit ribosomal RNA", at positions 334 to 801 of the family's 1533-position model. The record is from RNAcentral.
CACUCCUGCGGGAGGCAGCAGUGGGGAAUAUUGCACAAUGGGCGCAAGCCUGAUGCAGCCAUGCCGCGUGUAUGAAGAAGGCCUUCGGGUUGUAAAGUACUUUCAGCGGGGAGGAAGGCAAUACGGUUAAUAACCGUGUUGAUUGACGUUACCCGCAGAAGAAGCACCGGCUAACUCCGUGCCAGCAGCCGCGGUAAUACGGAGGGUGCAAGCGUUAAUCGGAAUUACUGGGCGUAAAGCGCACGCAGGCGGUCUGUCAAGUCGGAUGUGAAAUCCCCGGGCUCAACCUGGGAACUGCAUUCGAAACUGGCAGGCUUGAGUCUUGUAGAGGGGGGUAGAAUUCCAGGUGUAGCGGUGAAAUGCGUAGAGAGCUGGAGGAAUACCGGUGGCGAAGGCGGCCCCCUGGACAAAGACUGACGCUCAGGUGCGAAAGCGUGGGGAGCAAACAGGAUUAGAAACCCCAGUAGUCCCAUGAU